RNAcentral lists this ribosomal RNA (253 nucleotides) under uncultured bacterium. RNAcentral's name for it is "partial 16S ribosomal RNA". It matches the Rfam family "Bacterial small subunit ribosomal RNA", at positions 524 to 776 of the family's 1533-position model. The record is from RNAcentral.
UACGUAGGGUGCAAGCGUUGUCCGGAUUUAUUGGGCGUAAAGAGCGUGUAGGCGGCUUUACAGGUCCGUUGUGAAAACUCGAGGCUCAACCUCGAGACGCCGGUGGAAACCGUAAGGCUAGAGUCCGGAAGAGGAGAGUGGAAUUCCUGGUGUAGCGGUGAAAUGCGCAGAUAUCAGGAAGAACACCCGUGGCGAAGGCGGCUCUCUGGGACGGUACUGACGCUGAGACGCGAAAGCGUGGGGAGCGAACAGG